RNAcentral lists this ribosomal RNA (465 nucleotides) under uncultured Klebsiella sp. Its description in RNAcentral is "bacterial SSU rRNA". It matches the Rfam family "Bacterial small subunit ribosomal RNA", at positions 338 to 795 of the family's 1533-position model. Lineage: Bacteria; Pseudomonadati; Pseudomonadota; Gammaproteobacteria; Enterobacterales; Enterobacteriaceae. The record is from RNAcentral.
CCUACGGGUGGCAGCAGUGGGGAAUAUUGCACAAUGGGCGCAAGCCUGAUGCAGCCAUGCCGCGUGUGUGAAGAAGGCCUUCGGGUUGUAAAGCACUUUCAGCGGGGAGGAAGGCGUUAAGGUUAAUAACCUUGGCGAUUGACGUUACCCGCAGAAGAAGCACCGGCUAACUCCGUGCCAGCAGCCGCGGUAAUACGGGGGGUGCAAGCGUUAAUCGGAAUUACUGGGCGUAAAGCGCACGCAGGCGGUCUGUCAAGUCGGAUGUGAAAUCCCCGGGCUCAACCUGGGAACUGCAUUCGAAACUGGCAGGCUAGAGUCUUGUAGAGGGGGGUAGAAUUCCAGGUGUAGCGGCGAAAUGCGUAGAGAUCUGGAGGAAUACCGGUGGCGAAGGCGGCCCCCUGGACAAAGACUGACGCUCAGGUGCGAAAGCGUGGGGAGCAAACAGGAUUAGAUACCCCGGUAGUC